CUUUCUCGCUGAAACACAACUAAUGCUUUAUUCAGAGGUAAUAUUUCAUAUCAUACAUGUAAAAGUGUUUUGCAAACUAAAAGGCUAUAGAAAUGUCAACUAUUAACAUUAUUAUUUGAUUUCUCUUUCUAAUGACUAAAAACCAGAAAUUAUUUUUAGAUUUCUAGAUUCAUUCGUUAAGGCCUAAUGUAUGCAGAAUACAAGAUUUAUUGUUGCCAUCAUCAGAAUGAAAAAAAGGGUAGCCAUUUCGAAGUUUGCUUCUGUGGAAACCAUAAUCGUGAUGCAUGUAAGGCAAUUGGCUGUUGAAAUUCAAUUCUUGUCACCUGAGAUAAAAUACGCUACAGAUUUGCUCCUAAAACUAUGCAUUCUAAAAUUGAAAGAUUUCCUAGGCUAUGGAGUAAGGAAGUCUUUAGAAAUUUGUAAACCUAAAAAUCACAAUGAAUAUUCCUCAAAAUCUGUAUGGAAGAAAGUAAGGGUAGAUGAGAAGGAUGAAAGGGAGAAAGACGGCAUGAAGGGAGAGUGGGAGGAGAAAGAGUGGAUGACUGGCUAGAUAGGUGCAUGGAUAGAUGGAUGUAUAGAUACAGGGAAUUUACAGUUCACUCUAACAACUGCUUUCCUAGGCAGUAGCCAGAGUUCAAGGCUGUGAAGGAGAAAUCGGGUGAGGAUUCUUCUACAGUCCCUCAGCCUCCAAGAGUAUAACAGGAAAUCCUUCCUGUGAACUGAAAUUCUGGAUUCCUCACCCCCAUCUCAGUAAAUAAGAGAUCUUUAUUACUGAAGGACCCUCAUCAGAUACAGGAUGUCAAGAACCAAGUCAGUGUUUGAAUCUGCCCAUCACCAACUCCACAUUUUUGGCAAUAGAAAAGACUCCCAUUCUGUUUUUGACUCCCUUUACCUCCCUGGACCCUUACACCAAAGGCCUCCAGGCAACUCUGAAUCCCAGAGCCUUUGGCAGUGAUGCAUUGUAUACAUUUCAAAAGGACUUGAUUUCAUACAUUCAGGUAAUGGUAACAUGAUGAAUAUUUCACUGUAGAAACUGGAACUGACAAAUUCUUAAAUAUAUGAAAGGUAUUUUCAAUGUUCUUACAGAUGUCUUUUAAACUAGCUACUUAAAUUUUUAUCUUAAAUCAUUUAACAUAAAUGAGCAAAAUAUCUUAUGUUGGGUGAAGUCUUAGCAUGUUAUUACCUUUACUUUUUGAUAAAAUAUCAUAUUACCUAAAAGGAUAAACAUAUUAAAAUUACUUUUUAUUCCCUGAUAUAAAGCUGUAUCAGUAAACACAUAUUUAGAUAUUUCAGUAUAUUUGAAAAGAUUGCAUUAUUUAAUAUUUAAGAGAAAGUAUAUGAUAAAAAAUUAGAAAAAAAUUACCUAAAACUACCUACAAGUGGCCCUUAAAAGGGCAGGAAAUUUUUAUUGAUAAAUGAAGUGGAUUUUUCAAAAUGUGCUGUGUUAAGAAUGACAUGGGUUUUGCCCUUAAAAGGGCAUUUUUUACUUAACUAUGAUUAUUUUCAUUUUAGGCAUUAAAAUUUAUGCUGUUUUGCCUUUGAAAGA
This is a long non-coding RNA of Lemur catta (Ring-tailed lemur), 1546 nucleotides long. RefSeq lists it as uncharacterized. The record is from RefSeq and is a predicted model, not a curated record. The transcript is spliced from 3 exons. Lineage: Eukaryota; Metazoa; Chordata; Mammalia; Primates; Lemuridae.